Molecule: transfer RNA, 67 nt
Filed under: Marmota monax (woodchuck)
Lineage: Eukaryota; Metazoa; Chordata; Mammalia; Rodentia; Sciuridae
Description: tRNA.Ala
Source: RNAcentral
GGAUGUAGCUCAGUGGUACAGCACUUGCCUAGCAUGAGUGAGGUCCUGGGUUCCAUCCCCAGAACUG